Drosophila sulfurigaster albostrigata is the source of this 1462-nucleotide long non-coding RNA. RefSeq lists it as uncharacterized. The record is from RefSeq and is a predicted model, not a curated record. The transcript is spliced from 2 exons. Lineage: Eukaryota; Metazoa; Arthropoda; Insecta; Diptera; Drosophilidae.
UAAUGCUUUGUUUACUUCUCAACUGAAUUAAACUAAAUUUUAAUUUGAUUGUGCCGUCAUUUAAGAGUGUUGUCAACACCUUAAAUUAUUUGCACGAAAGCCAAAUUGUUCUCUAAAUACUCACACUUUGGCAAAUUAUAGCUGUGACUGUCGUUAUUUGUCGUUGUCGUUGUUAUUGUGCUCGCCCGAAGGCGAAUUAUACAAAUUGGUUGGGCCAGUUGAGACCACACGCCACCUGAUACGCACGCCAAGUCUGAUUUGGAGCCUAGGCAAACAGAUGCACAGGCUGAGAAAGUCGGGAGCCGGGAGUCUGGAGAGUCUGGGAGGUGGGGAACUCUGAGAAACUGGGAAGAGCCGCAUUCCGUAUAACGAGAGAGAUGAUGCACUGGCGAUAAUCAAGUUUCGUCUUGUUUUCGUAGUCGUGCGCUCAUGAUAAAUGUCACAACAUUAACAUCAAAUGACACGGACCAUCCGUCACUCAGUCGGAGUUUUGUUUUGCCCCUGAGCGAUCUCUGCUCUCUGUCUGUCUCUGUCCGUCUGUCUGUGCGUCUCUGUGUGUUCGACCAUCGAACUACUUCGAUUUGAUGCUCAUCAGCAUAGCUAAUCCCCCAGUGUCAGUGUCGCACGUCGAGAUUGUGUCUAUGUCUUUGCAACUGUAUCCGAAUCUGAAUCUGUAUUUUUGUCUCUGUGACUGAAGCUGAAACUGAAGACUGAACGCGUGGCGAAACCUAAUUAUAUAAUUGGCCAUUCGGGUCAAGGUUAUGCUUAAUUGGAGUGCAUCAAUGGGAGUUGCAUAGUCGCAUCAACUAAGCAAGUAGCUCGCUAAUUAAAAAGCCAUUUAUCAGUCGAGCCUAGAACCUCCCUCGCCUCCCUUCCGUAAUGCACUCGCCAACACCUGAAACUGUCGACCCAUUGUCAGCUGUCAUUGCCUGGAGCCAGUCCAGUUGUGUGGUGUGUGGUGUGCGGUGUGUGUUGUGACCAUGCGCGGUAGCCAAUUUUGAGUAGAAUUAAAACAAUAAGCGCUGACAAACGUCGCUUUUUUGAUAAUGGAACUCAACACAUGGCUGCUCAAUGAAUUUGGUUUUAGGCCAGUUAAUGUUCCGCCGCGACGCGACAAUUAAUGGUAAUUAUCUAUCGAAGCUGACAUUCAAAUGCGUGUAUAACCACAUACUCAUACUCCAAGCCACCUGGGUAUUGGGCAUAUUCAGAAUUGAGCAUUUGUGGCAUUUGGGUAUUCGCUUUGCUGUCCACCAAGUUCAUUCGCUCAUCGAGUCGCUCUCGAGUCGUAGUGAAUGGAAACCUGUUUCUGCAGCCCACAUUCAAAAUGUUCGGUGUGAAAAUUUAAUAAAAAAGAUAACAGACACAUUGUCGGAAACUUAAAAUUGAUGGUAAAUUAAAUGUGGUCUUAGUAAAAUAAUAAAGUUGUAUACAUUUGAGAGAAGCUAGAUUUUAAAUUGAGGAA